RNAcentral lists this transfer RNA (73 nucleotides) under Elusimicrobiota bacterium. Its description in RNAcentral is "Elusimicrobia bacterium tRNA-Met". It matches the Rfam family "tRNA". Rfam says of the family: Transfer RNA (tRNA) molecules are approximately 80 nucleotides in length. Their secondary structure includes four short double-helical elements and three loops (D, anti-codon, and T loops). The record is from RNAcentral. Lineage: Bacteria; Pseudomonadati; Elusimicrobiota.
GGCGCGGUAGCUCAGGGGUUAGAGCGGGCGUUUCAUAAGCGCUAGGUCGGAGGUUCAAAUCCUCCCCGCGCCA